AAUAGAUACCCGGUAGUCCACGCCGUAAACGAUGAGUGCUAAGUGUUAGGGGGUUUCCGCCCCUUAGUGCUGCAGCUAACGCAUUAAGCACUCCGCCUGGGGAGUACGGCCGCAAGGCUGAAACUCAAAGGAAUUGACGGGGGCCCGCACAAGCGGUGGAGCAUGUGGUUUAAUUCGAAGCAACGCGAAGAACCUUACCAGGUCUUGACAUCCUCUGACAAUCCUAGAGAUAGGACGUUUCCCUUCGGGGAACGAGAGUGACAGGUGGUGCAUGGUUGUCGUCAGCUCGUGUCGUGAGAUGUUGGGUUAAGUCCCGCAACGAGCGCAACCCUUGAUCUUAGUUGCCAGCAUUCAGUUGGGCACUCUAAGGUGACUGCCGGUGACAAACCGGAGGAAGGUGGGGAGUGGACGUCAAAUCAUCAUGCCCCUUAUGACCUGGGCUACACACGUGCUACAAUGGAUGGUACAAAGGGCUGCAAGACCGCGAGGUUUAGCCAAUCCCAUAAAACCAUUCUCAGUUCGGAUUGCAGGCUG
This 534-nucleotide ribosomal RNA is filed under the name uncultured bacterium. RNAcentral describes it as "bacterial SSU rRNA". It matches the Rfam family "Bacterial small subunit ribosomal RNA", at positions 777 to 1307 of the family's 1533-position model. The record is from RNAcentral.